UGCGUAGGCGGAUAAAUAAGUCAGUGGUGAAAUCUUUCGGCUCAACCGGGAAACUGCCAUUGAUACUGUUUAUCUUGAGUUCGGUAGAGGUAGGCGGAACGUGUAAUGUAGCGGUGAAAUGCUUAGAUAUUACACAGAACACCAAUUGCGUAGGCAGCUUACUAUGCCGACACUGACGCUGAGGCACGAAAGCGUGGGGAGCGAACAGGAUUAGAUACCCUGGUAGUCC
This 229-nucleotide ribosomal RNA is filed under the name uncultured bacterium. RNAcentral describes it as "partial 16S ribosomal RNA". It matches the Rfam family "Bacterial small subunit ribosomal RNA", at positions 568 to 796 of the family's 1533-position model. The record is from RNAcentral.